UGGGGAAUAUUGGACAAUGGGCGAAAGCCUGAUCCAGCCAUGCCGCGUGAGUGAUGAAGGCCCUAGGGUUGUAAAGAUCUUUCACCGGUGAAGAUAAUGACGGUAACCGGAGAAGAAGCCCCGGCUAACUUCGUGCCAGCAGCCGCGGUAAUACGAAGGGGGCUAGCGUUGUUCGGAUUUACUGGGCGUAAAGCGCACGUAGGCGGAUUGUUAAGUGAGGGGUGAAAUCCCAGGGCUCAACCCUGGAACUGCCUUUCAUACUGGCAAUCUCGAGUCCGGAAGAGGUGAGUGGAAUUCCGAGUGUAGAGGUGAAAUUCGUAGAUAUUCGGAGGAACACCAGUGGCGAAGGCGGCUCACUGGUCCGGUACUGACGCUGAGGUGCGAAAGCGUGGGGAGCAAACA
Molecule: ribosomal RNA, 402 nt
Filed under: uncultured bacterium
Lineage: Bacteria
Description: bacterial SSU rRNA
Rfam family: Bacterial small subunit ribosomal RNA
Source: RNAcentral